This 214-nucleotide non-coding RNA is filed under the name Apilactobacillus ozensis. RNAcentral's name for it is "Lactobacillus ozensis T-box sequence". It matches the Rfam family "T-box leader". From Rfam's summary of the family: Uncharged tRNA acts as the effector for transcription antitermination of genes in the T-box leader family. T-boxes are found upstream of many aminoacyl-tRNA synthetase genes and some amino acid biosynthetic genes usually in Gram-positive bacteria. The record is from RNAcentral. Lineage: Bacteria; Bacillati; Bacillota; Bacilli; Lactobacillales; Lactobacillaceae.
UUAAGAGUUUUGACGAAAAAUUAGUAAGCUAUACUUUACAGAAAGUUCAUAUUGGGAUGAGAAUGAACAUUGAUAUAGCUGAAUUCAUUUUCCGAGCUAAUGUUGGGAGUCAAUUUUGGCAAAAAACAUUUCGGUUCGUCCACCGUUAUAGGACUUUAAGUUGUAUACGAUUGUUGUAUAAACUAGGGUGGUACCGCGAUGCUUCGUCCCUUUU